Molecule: ribosomal RNA, 465 nt
Filed under: uncultured bacterium
Lineage: Bacteria
Description: partial 16S ribosomal RNA
Rfam family: Bacterial small subunit ribosomal RNA
Source: RNAcentral
GACGAACGCUGGCGGCGUGCUUAACACAUGCAAGUCGAACGGAAAGGCCCCUUUGGGGGUACUCGAGUGGCGAACGGGUGAGUAACACGUGAGUAACCUGCCCUUGACUUCGGGAUAACUUCAGGAAACUGGGGCUAAUACCGGAUAGGAAUCCUUGCUGCAUGGUGGGGGUUGGAAAGCUUCGGCGGUUUUGGAUGGACUCGCGGCUUAUCAGCUUGUUGGUGGGGUAGUGGCUUACCAAGGCUUUGACGGGUAGCCGGCCUGAGAGGGCGACCGGCCACAUUGGGACUGAGAUACGGCCCAGACUCCUACGGGAGGCAGCAGUGGGGAAGAUUGCACAAUGGGCGGAAGCCUGAUGCAGCAGCGCCGCGUGCGGGAUGACGGCCUUCGGGUUGUAAACCGCUUUCAGCAGGGGCGAAGCUUGUGGUGACGGUACCUGCAGAAGAAGCACCGGCUAACUACGUG